GACAGAGGUCCCGAGCGUUAGGCGGAAUCACUGGGCUUAAAGCGUGUGUAGGCGGAUCUGUAAGUACCUUGUGAAAUCCCACGGCUCAACCGUGGAACUGCUUGGUAUACUGCGGGUCUUGAGCCACUUAGGGGCGACCGGAACAGACGGUGGAGCGGUGAAAUGCGUAGAUAUCGUCUGGAACGCCAAUGGUGAAAACAGGUCGCUGGGAGUGUGCUGACGCUGAGGCACGAAAGCGUGGGGAGCAAACAGG
RNAcentral lists this ribosomal RNA (253 nucleotides) under uncultured bacterium. RNAcentral's name for it is "partial 16S ribosomal RNA". It matches the Rfam family "Bacterial small subunit ribosomal RNA", at positions 524 to 776 of the family's 1533-position model. The record is from RNAcentral.